UCUCAAGGACCCAUAUAAUGGGGACUGAACUUUCCCUUCUUGCCAAACUGCACUACUCCCUUCAUGGGAGAUACCUUGAGGAAAAUCUUAUGCCCAACAUACGUAUAGGACUUUUAGCAACUUUGGGCAGCUUUAAGCCACUCCUAAAUCACCUUCACCUUCCACAUAGCCUGGUAAACAAAGUUGGUACCAAACAUGUCCGCCUCUCCAAGAUCAAACCAACUAAUA
Molecule: long non-coding RNA, 228 nt
Filed under: Capsicum annuum
Lineage: Eukaryota; Viridiplantae; Streptophyta; Magnoliopsida; Solanales; Solanaceae
Description: long non-coding RNA (CANN_LNC020649)
Source: RNAcentral